RNAcentral lists this ribosomal RNA (449 nucleotides) under uncultured bacterium. RNAcentral describes it as "partial 16S ribosomal RNA". It matches the Rfam family "Bacterial small subunit ribosomal RNA", at positions 29 to 523 of the family's 1533-position model. The record is from RNAcentral.
AACGAACGCUGGCGGCAGGCUUAACACAUGCAAGUCGAACGAGAUCUUCGGAUCUAGUGGCAGACGGGUGAGGAACACGUGGGAACAUCCCUUUCAGUUCGGAAUAACGUUGGGAAACUAACGCUAAUACCGGAUACGUCCUUCGGGAGAAAGAUUUAUCGCUGAAAGAUUGGCCCGCGUCUGAUUAGCUAGUAGGUGAGGUAAUGGCUCACCAAGGCUAAGAUCAAUAGCUGAUCUGAGAGGAUGAUCUGCCACAUUGGGACUGAGACACGGCCGCAACUCGUACGGGGGUCAGCACUGAGGAAUAUUAGACAAUGGGCGCAAGCCUGAUCCAGCCAUGCCGCAUGAGUGAUGAAGGCCUUCGGGUUGUAAAGCUCUUUUAUCCGGGAAGAUAAUGACUGUACCGGAAGAAUAAGCCCCGGCAAACUUCGUGCCAGCCGCCGCAGUAA